This 772-nucleotide long non-coding RNA is filed under the name Carica papaya (papaya). RNAcentral describes it as "long non-coding RNA (CPAP_LNC007631)". Lineage: Eukaryota; Viridiplantae; Streptophyta; Magnoliopsida; Brassicales; Caricaceae. The record is from RNAcentral.
GUAUAUAACCGAAAAUACCAGAUAAAUCGAUAAGGCUAUAGAAAAUAUAAUUUAAGAACAUGCACCAUAUAAUAACAAGCAAUUAGAGUAGUACGAAAAAAUAAACAGAAAAUCGAGAUAAUCAUGAACUAAUUGGUUCCGUCUCCACUAGUGACCUACAAUUAUUUUUAGGCGCGCUGACAUUGGCGCCAUGCAGGAAGCCAUGCUGGCGAUCCGUGUGCCCUGUGAUCAGACAACCCAGGAUCGAUCCUGCGCGCUUGGACGGUCCAAAUCCGCUUUCUCCCUUAGGUAUGAUCAAACGGUCGAGAUCAAAUGCAAUGAACGGUCCAGAUUUAUUUCUCCCUUAAGCGCGAUCGAACGGUCGAGAUCAAAUGCGAUGAAUGAUUUAGAUUCAUUUCCUAUUUAGGUGCAAUCGGACGGACGAGAUCGAUCGCGAUUGACGGUCCAGAUUAAGUAGGAUGGGUAUAAAUAUUUGUAUCACACAGAACUCGAACUUUAGCCGUCAACCCUCCUACAGGAGAUAAAAAAUCAGACGCCAGAGAAGGAAGCCGACCGCUGACCGUCGCUGCACCAAAGCCACAUUUGACCACAAAAAAGGUAAAAAUUCUCCUACCCACUCGAAAUUCGAUUCCAAGCACCCUUGUAGCCAUAUCAAAGAAAGAUAAAUGGUGGGUGAGCCAAAAACUACGGGCAAAGCUCGACAGGGCCACCGGUAACCUCCUCCGAUGAGCCCCUUUUCAGUUUUCAUUUCGUGCGAUUCUUCCACCAUUGU